This 29-nucleotide non-coding RNA is filed under the name Mus musculus (house mouse). The record is from RNAcentral. Lineage: Eukaryota; Metazoa; Chordata; Mammalia; Rodentia; Muridae.
UAAGGAGUGAAAAUGAGUUUCUUUAUGGC